CUGGGGUCUGUGCCCACCGCGCGCACCUGCCUAACGUACCCUUUGAGUGACGUCCCAGCAACUGUGUUUUCCUGAGAAAAAAUGAGCACUGCACAGACGAGUGUUUGCUGUUGGUGUCCAGUCUGCCCUGUUGAUGGCGUCUUUUUUCGUCCUGAGUGUUGAUUGCCAUCUGAUUGUUCAGCUACAUACACCCCAAAGGCUCUUUUAAGAGCCACACCACGAGAGCGUCUUUGGCUUUGCUUUUUUUUGCAUCAUCUUCCACUGUCUCCCCACCUCCUUCACAUUUUUGUCUUGCCACAUUCAGGGACAUUCAGAGAAACAAAGGAGGAUAAACAGUGAAG
Molecule: long non-coding RNA, 341 nt
Organism: Cyprinus carpio carpio
Lineage: Eukaryota; Metazoa; Chordata; Actinopteri; Cypriniformes; Cyprinidae
Source: Ensembl